UUUUUUAUUUUCAGUUUCUCUAGCAGAAGUAUUAGGUUUAGCGGCCGCUUCUUCUUCUUCCUCUCAGUCACAUGCGUUUGUUUUCAGAUUCUCAGUUUCAAUAUCAUCCAUGAUCAACAAAUACAACAACAAAUAACUCAGUAACUGAAACAAUAUGGAAGAACCAAGUCAAGAUACACAUCAAAUUGGAGUUGGAUCAUCUAAUGUAUCUAGUCAAUCUACAGCUGGGGCCGGACUAUGUACCAGAUGAUUGCUCAAGCAUUGAGGAAGCAAUAUUGAGUGCUUAUCCAGUACCAGAGGAGUUUGAUGGUCCAAUGAUGCUUGACUAAUGAAGUAAUGGUUGUUGAAGUUCAUAUCUUGUUGCAGACUUGAGAUGGAAAGGAACUAUGGUCUAUGGAAGUGCUGGUUUACAUUUAACACUUUAUGUGAAUCUUUGAACACUAUUUUCCUUCGGUUAUUAACUUAUUAUGUACAUAUGUAGUAGUUAUGUUAGUUGGUCACUUGGUCGGUUGGACUUGAUCUUGAAGAACUUAAGUAGCUGGAUGAUUGCAGUACUCUUGCAGACUUGGAAGACUUGCAGUAACUUUACUUUGAACUUAUGUCAGACUUUGAAGUUGGUUUUUAUCAGUUUAUGUAAUUAUGUUAGUUGGUUUUAAAGAACUUAUGUUAAUUAUGUCUAUGUUGUUAUGUUA
Long non-coding RNA from Papaver somniferum (opium poppy), 692 nucleotides. RefSeq lists it as uncharacterized. The record is from RefSeq and is a predicted model, not a curated record. NCBI's taxonomy places the organism in Eukaryota, Viridiplantae, Streptophyta, Magnoliopsida, Ranunculales, Papaveraceae. The transcript is spliced from 3 exons.